CAAACCUCCCGAGUCCGGACCACGCCCGACGCCUCGCCUUGAACCACCUCUUCCCCACAACCACGCUCCAGGCGCACAUCCGCCUCCACGCACCGCCCGGGCCGCCGCACCCACGUUCCAGGCGGACGGCCGCCUCCACGCGCCGCCCGGACCGCCGACCGCCACGCCCACGUUCCAAGGCGGACGGCCGCCACCACUCGCCGCCCGGACCGCCGACCGCCACGUCCACGCUCCAGCCAAACGGACACGUCCUCCACGCGCCGCUGGAAAUCCACCCUGCAGGGGAAGGGGGAGAGGGCACCAUCGGCAUCUCUGUCCUCCUGUGCUUGGUGGCCGCCAUGUACGCGGAAGACCAUGAGGUCGCCGGGUCCGUCGCUGGCUGACCGAAGGGUACCCGGAGGACGGCCGUCUGUCGCGAGCCUCGCCGUCUACCUUCACCAGCCACCCCCGAACGCCAUUUGUCGGGCUGGGAGGGGAAGGAGCGUCGAUUCGGAGAUGUAGCAGAGCGCUUGGCGGCAGCUGUUCUCGGCCGGCGACGGCGUGUGCCGCGUCGAGAGGCUCGCCUUGGCGCCCACAUCGUCCUCCUACUACUUCUCGGCGCCGCUGACCCGGCGAGAGUCGAGGGAGGUGACGUACAUCCAGAGCGUCUGCGCGCAGAUGAACCGGCUCUGGUGCUCCAUCCCCGCCAAGGCGCAGCGCAAAAUCUGGAAGAGGUUAGGAUGCUCUUCUUAACUUGCUCGGUUAGUACGUUUCUGUAUGCCGCGUGAGUUGCUGAUGAGUGCGAGGCAGAGAGAGAUCUACAAGUACCGAUGAGUUCUUCGUGCGAGCGGGCGCAGAUCACAGCUUUACUCUAUGCUAUUUUCGUCAUUUUGGUUCCUUCGACAUUGUUAACAGUUUUCGUUAGUUAUUUCAACAAAAUAGCCAGGGAUGCUGUCCAGCUGAUGCUUGGUAUCGACUCGAAGUUCAUCAUCCACCGUAUUGAGGUUAUCUACCUGGACUCUGUAGUCACUUUAUAUUUUCUAUAAAAACAUGAAUUUCAUGCUAGGUUAUUCCCAGAAAGGCACUGAAUAACUGUACAUUCCGACCCUUUCCUCGCCCGUGUCAUAUGCUCGCCGUCAGCAAACAUCACAAAACAGAACCUGUUUAUUUCAUCAAAGUCACACAACCCACUAACUACUAUCAAACUGAAGACUUCAUUUUCCUUUACCUUGUUGUACAUUUGCAUUCAGGUCAAAUUUCCCAUUUCUACCUGCGAGUAAACCAUUCUUGUAUGCAGAAACAAUUGAGCACGUUUUGGACAUUCCUUGGUAGAAAAGAUACAUACUGAUGAUUGCCAUCUCAAGUUUAGUGUUGUCAACUUCAAGUCCCUGGUCCCUGUUGCUCUGAACUGAGACAUAUUUGACCCACAGUUGGCUGCACACUAAUUGUUGGACAGAAUGUUGACAUGUUGUGCUUACUUUAUAUCACGAGGUAUGAUUACUUUAUAACAUGUUAUAUGUCACUGUAAAUGGUCCCAAAAUGACAGGAUAACUUCAGUUAUGUUUCGUGAUUGCCAAUGUGCCCAUAGCACAGCACCACUCCAAGCUCGAGAAGGAUUGCAUUUUUUAUGUUUUGUGCCAUCACAUAUUGCUCCAUCGUCACGUAUGUAUAACAGUAUAAGUGAGGAAUCACUAGACCUCUCCUAGCCACAUGCUGAUCCAUUUCAUAUUCUUCUAAAUAUAAGAGUCGCCAUUUAAAUUGCCUUGGAUUAAAGCUACGUGCACUGAUAUUUAUUAAUUGUUGAAGCUCUAUUUUUUUGUUCAAUUUUGGCUAGGAUCUCUCGAUGAUGAUCAGCAGUAUUGCAAGUUCGGCAGAAAUAAGUGAGUACGUAUAAUUAUAUGACGAUAAUAUUGGGGUACAAGAUCAUUUCCUAUUUUUCAUGGAGUUAGAGAACAAGAUGGUGCGUUGCAUGUUGCACAUUCAGGAUUGCUACAUAAUUAGCAUGUGAUCUUUAGACAAGUGAAUGUCUAACUGCCAUUGUUAAGUGACAGUGACAAGAACAACAUUUACAACCUGUUUUAGUAUCUUCCAGGUUAGAUAUACCAUCCCGCAAGGUCAAGAUUUACUGAAAUGGAUUAUACUUAUAGUUGGGACGCGUUACUUUUAACAUUUCAAACAGUUCCUAGGUUCGGGCUAUGCAGGUGAGACUGCCGGCGAAAAUCGUACUCCGGUUGUGGCCGGAGUCGUCGAUGGCGGCGCUUUCAGGCAUCGCUCCCUUGUUGGAGGCAUCGAUGUAGCUGCUCUCACCUUGCCUUUCCCGACGCACUCUGGGGGAAACCCUUGAUUUAGUUAGAUCGGACGAUGGCGGCGCUACUCGGCGUCGCGUUCUCUCUUGGGAGCAUCGUCAUGGAGGUGGAUCUGGUCAGAGGGACUCGUGGCUCGUGAGGAUGUGUGUGUUGUUGUUUGCCGAAAGGCGCCGUUGUAUGGUUUUCGGGUCCGGUUUCCCUCAUAAACUGGACCAACCUCCUUUCUUCUGAUCAAUGAAUUUGGUAGAACUACUACCAACAUUCAAAAAAAACAUUUCAAACAGUUCCCGUUCUCUAGGUAUGGGCGUUUCUCAAGCUGUCGCUCGAGUUUGUCAUCAUGCUCUGCAAUGAGAUUUUCUACCUCUUCAUGAUCAUUGUCCUGACAAGCAAAGUCCAAGAUGGGUAGAUUGUCGUUCAUUCACUUGGCUGGUACUUACUUGCUUACUCUUAUUACUUGACUGCUGAGCUCACAACCAGAAGUUCAGAACCACUACUUGAUGAGAAAAUUCUGAGCUAACUAAAUAUAGUGUGCUUCUCUUUUUAUUCUACAUUCUUUGGAAUACUAAUUAUAGCAUGGGAAUGCAUGAUCUUGAUGGCCCUCUAUGCUGCUAUCAGGUCAGAUUAGUUACAACUACACGUAUAAACUGUUACUCUUUGCUCUGAUUCUCAUCUUGCUUUGGAUUAAAUUCUUGGCGAGUAGUUUCAUCAGAUAGUUCUUAGUAGUGCAUUUUCCCAGUCACAAAAUUUUCCUUUAUCCCCAAGGAUAAGUUAGAGCAUAAAAAUGAAAUCAGAAACUGGGGUGGAUAUUGUUAGGAAGGGCAUAUUGUUGUACAUCUAUGCCAGCCUGCACUAUGCACCAUUUCAUUCACGCGGGAAGGUAUUGUAACAUCCAGAAAUAACAAGCUAGCUGAAAAGACAUACAUACUAUUGACUUAAUGGUUGUGACAUAUUUGGAGUUGCCCCAAAGAGAAAUAGAGGGUCAGAGUUAUAGUGGAAGCCACCACCCACUGAAACUGGAACGAGUUGACUGGGGGAAACCGCCUUCAAUAUAUAAGAGUUCCUUCUUACACCUAAACUAUAAAAAAAGGAGUAUGCAAAAGUCACCUUGGAUCAUACUUCAAGGAAUGUAUUACUCUUUGCUCCAUUCUAUUUAAAUUACAUAUUGUAACAAUUAACAUGUUGAUGUGUGUCUGGUUAUGUCUUGCCUUGCUACUUGGGUGCCACCAAUGUGUGUUUAUUGUCUUCCAUGCAAAUAAAAGAAUACAAAUACAUCAGGCCUCUUAAUAUUUGUAUCUACUACUGAUAUUUGUUUCUUUUUUGGCUGAGGCUCUCAAAGGUGUAGCCUUCAAGCUUUACAAUAUGGGUUGGGAUUUCAGAGAUGAUUUGUGCAUUAUAAUUGGAAUUUGGGUAAUUUCAUGGUUUGAGGAACAUAACUGCAUCUGGAGUGGCUGAGCACAUGCAACACUGCAAGCAUACACCUUGAAACAGACACCUCGAUGGCCUGGCAAGUUCUACUCCUGAAAUCAACAUCUAUGCCUUGAGUAAGUGUCAGCGGUAUCCCUAGGUCUGACAACAAUCAUGCGAGAGCAAUCUGUGGUGGUAGAUUUCUGCAUGAUGUAUCUUCAAUAAGGAUGUCACUGUUGUAUUAAUGUAUGUAUCCUGCUAAUUUUGCAAGACAAUUUUUGAAAUGUAACUUCAGAAUUCAAAUGACUUCCUUUCAUCA
This is a long non-coding RNA of Triticum urartu, 4008 nucleotides long. RefSeq lists it as uncharacterized. The record is from RefSeq and is a predicted model, not a curated record. Lineage: Eukaryota; Viridiplantae; Streptophyta; Magnoliopsida; Poales; Poaceae.